GUAGGUGGCAAGCGUUGUCCGGAAUUAUUGGGCGUAAAGCGCGCGCAGGCGGUUCUUUAAGUCUGAUGUGAAAGCCCACGGCUCAACCGUGGAGGGUCAUUGGAAACUGGAGAACUUGAGUACAGAAGAGGAAAGCGGAAUUCCACGUGUAGCGGUGAAAUGCGUAGAGAUGUGGAGGAACACCAGUGGCGAAGGCGGCUUUCUGGUCUGUAACUGACGCUGAGGCGCGAAAGCGUGGGGGGCAAACAGGAUUAGAUACCCUGGUAGUCCACGCCGUAAACGAUGAGUGCUAAGUGUUAGGGGGUUUCCCGCCCCCCUUAGUGCUGCAGCUAACGCAUUAAGCACUCCGCCUGGGGGAGUACGGCCCGCAAGGCUG
RNAcentral lists this ribosomal RNA (376 nucleotides) under uncultured organism. RNAcentral describes it as "partial 16S ribosomal RNA". It matches the Rfam family "Bacterial small subunit ribosomal RNA", at positions 527 to 896 of the family's 1533-position model. The record is from RNAcentral.